UCAGGACGAACGCUGGCGGCGUGCUUAACACAUGCAAGUCGAGCGAUGAAGUUUCUUCGGAGAUGGAUUAGCGGCGAACGGGUGAGGAACACGUGAAGAAUCUGCCCUCCACUUUGGGAUAACACAGGGAAACCUGUGCUAAUACCGAAUAUUGAAACAUAAGUGGCAUCACUGAGUUUUGAAAGAAUUUCGGUGGAGGAUGACUUCGCGGCCUAUCAGCUAGUUGGUGAGGUAAUGGCUCACCAAGGCAACGACGGGUAGCCGGCCUGAGAGGGCGACCGGCCACACUGGGACUGAGACACGGCCCAGACUCCUACGGGAGGCAGCAGUGGGGAAUAUUGGGCAAUGGAGGAAACUCUGACCCAGCGACGCCGCGUGCGGGAUGAAGGCCUUCGGGUUGUAAACCGCUUUCAGUAGGGAAGAAGCGAAAGUGACGG
Molecule: ribosomal RNA, 437 nt
Filed under: uncultured Actinomycetales bacterium
Lineage: Bacteria; Bacillati; Actinomycetota; Actinomycetes; Actinomycetales
Description: bacterial SSU rRNA
Rfam family: Bacterial small subunit ribosomal RNA
Source: RNAcentral